This 549-nucleotide small RNA is filed under the name Pan troglodytes (chimpanzee). RNAcentral's name for it is "processed transcript". The record is from RNAcentral. Lineage: Eukaryota; Metazoa; Chordata; Mammalia; Primates; Hominidae.
GGAUGUUUGCAAACAAGCGAGGAGACGACUUGCGGACCAGACGGCGCGGACGUGUUUGUACCCGGAGCCUCUCCGUGGAAGAGCGCGUUCGUCGCGACCCUGCCGCCGCUGCUGUUGGUCCUCGCGGCGCUGGCGCUGGGCGUCCUCCAGAAGCAGCGGAGAAGCCGAGAAAAGCUGAGGAAGCAGGAGGAGAAGAGACAAGGUGAGCGGGGACAGGGCGUUCUGCACCCACCUGCCCAGGUGCCAAAACCCGCCGUCAUCUAAAGGCUGCGGGUCCCGUUACGAGGGUUUAUUCCAGCGCGAGGUGUCAGGGCGGCCACCGGGGAACGGGGAUCGGUGACCCCGGUGGGGAAAAGGGAAGAUCGUUCAUAUGGACAGAAGCGGAGGUGCUGGUGCACAGACGUCAGGGUUGACCGGCUGCUAUCGGUUACACCCUCGGAGCCUGACAUCACACUGUACAGAGGGAACAGGGACCGGGGUCUCUGCCGCCAGCGCCAGUUCGUCCAGGUUCUCAUAACGCACGGGGAGCCGGGCUGAUGCGUAACAUCU